Sciurus carolinensis (gray squirrel) is the source of this 2182-nucleotide long non-coding RNA. RefSeq lists it as uncharacterized. The record is from RefSeq and is a predicted model, not a curated record. NCBI's taxonomy places the organism in Eukaryota, Metazoa, Chordata, Mammalia, Rodentia, Sciuridae. The transcript is spliced from 5 exons.
CCUGCGCACAGGAGCAGACGUGGGCCUGGCCCCAGGAGCAGCUGGGAGGCCGGGCCGCUCUGGAAGACGCCGCGGGACGAAGGGGCCAGGGGCUCAAUGUCCCCACCCACCCCUGUGCCUCGCAGACAGCGGCGCUCGGCCGCCAGGUGAGGGCCAGCCCCUCCGGGCCUUUCAGAGUUAAUUAGCCUUCAUGAAUAUGGAUGCCACCGCCGAUUUAAUACGGUUGAGAGGUCAUAACCUGACCUUAGCGAGGCGUGCAUAAAGAAAAGGCUACUUUUCUCAGCUCGGUUCCUAAUUGAAAGGCCGAGUUGUCAGACGAUGCGUAGUGGGUGUGAUCCUGCCACCCGGGUUCUCUUCGCACAGGAGACAGUACUGGGGCCGACCAGGAGCAGUGGCCCUAAUUACCUACAGAAAGCUGCAUGGAGCUCACCCGGGAGCUGGCUAAUGAUGAGACCAUAAAAGGAAACUAAACGAUGGCAGGUUUUGGAUGGCAAAUUCCCACCCUAACCAGGUAGUCUAUUUCCACAUCUUUAAAACAGCCACAGACCCCCGCAGUUCUGGGGCCACAGUAAGGGAUAAACUCCUAAUCCAGGGUGGCACACAUCCAUUGUGGGCCAAAUCAAUGGCAGCUCCCACCGCCCACGAAGAAUUUUCUGCACCUUGAGUGGAAAUUUCCCCACUGAAGGUCAGCGCAAGGUACAGACGUGUUGGUCCACGGUCCAACUGCAUGGAGCAUAGAGCCUGGCACACAGCAACUGUUAAAUGUUUCUGAAAAUAUGUGCAAACAAUUCAGUGAUCAGUUUGCAGCCAUGAAGGAGAAAGAUCUGGUUUACUGAUAUGCAGCAAAACAAAAAGGGCGUGUUAUCUUGUAACCCAUUGGGAUAAUUGCCGAUUGCUCUCAAAAGUUAUGCAAGCACAUACAGACCACCUGCUACCAAGGUCUGACCCCUGUUAACAGCCCACCAGAGUUUCCAAGCCCACCAGAGCUUCCAAGCUGGAAAUGCUUGAAGCACAGAAGUCAUAUUCAACUGUUUUGGUCCAGCCUGGAAUGCAUCACAGAUGCCCCCUUUUUUGAACUCCUAUGCCAUUUAUGUAUCAGGCAGAAUACUCCAGUAUGCCUCUGAAGCUCUGUGAUAAAUCCUUUAAGGAGGGGGACAAUGCUGAAGUGCUCUCCUUUGUGCCUCUGUGGACUCCUCAGGAGGGUGAUGGAUUCUGAAGAUGGAUUUCACUAUGCUGAACAUAAACCAUUGUGUUUAAAAUUGAAGAACCAGGAGAGAAAACAAACAAACAGUACUCACUGAUAGUACAUCCCUGAGGAAAUGGACACUUGUCCACACUGCUUGAGAAGGUGCACACUAUUAAGGAAACUUGGUGACUUGUUCCAUUUUUUUGCUGCUAUAUCAUAAUACCACAGGCUGCAUAAUUUAUAAACAAUAGAAGUUUAUUGACUCACAGUUCUGGAAGCUGUGAUAUCCAAGAACAUGGCACCAGCACCUGGUGAGGGGCUUAGUUCUGUGUCAUAAUGAGGCAGAAGAGCAAGCGAGCAUGUGACACACAGAGAGGAGAUCAGGGUGAACUCAGUUUUUUGGUCAAGAACCUGCUCUCAUGAUAAUUAACCCACUCCUGCAAUCAAGGCAUGGGGCUCUGUCCUCAUGACCUAAUCACCUCUAAAGUUACCACUUCUUAGUACUGAGAAAUGGCAAUUAAAUUUUAACAUGUGUUUCAGAGGGAACAUUCAAGCCAUAGCAUUUGGAAAAGACAAUUUGGCACAAGCAUCAAAAUCCAUAUCCUUUGACUCACUUCCAGGAAUUUUUCCUAAGGAAAAAGUUAGUUGGGAGUUGUUGAGUAUAUUACCACUUGCAUUUCUGAAAACUAUAUGGAAAUAAAUGUCCAGCAUAAAGGGAUUUAUUAAGUAAGCACUGGAACACCCAUGAAAUGUAAUGAUACACAGCCAUAAAGUCAUACUAGGGAACAUGUUCAAUCUACUGUUCAAUGCAAAAAGCCACUUAAAAGAAAAUGUAUCAUAUGAUCUCAAUUUUAUAUAUGAAAGGAUUUGUAAUAUCUGCUUGGGGGAAAAGAAUACAGACUAUCUCUGUAUGGUGAAAUAGGGAGUGGAUUUCAAUUUUUCUUCUUUGUGCUUUUCUGAAUAUUAUAUAAUAAACAUGCUAAUAUUAUGCUUGUU